This is a long non-coding RNA of Spinacia oleracea (spinach), 722 nucleotides long. RefSeq lists it as uncharacterized. The transcript has 5 exons. NCBI's taxonomy places the organism in Eukaryota, Viridiplantae, Streptophyta, Magnoliopsida, Caryophyllales, Amaranthaceae. The record is from RefSeq and is a predicted model, not a curated record.
CAUUCACGUGAAAACGCACAAGACUCUCUGCUUCAGCCACCGCCGCUCCUCCUUGCUGCUAUCCCUCACGCCGCCGUUCCUCUCCCCCGCCUUCACUUUCGUUGCUGCAGCCUCCCUCGCCGUCGGACCACCAUCACGCCACUGUUUCGUUCGCAGCAACCACCACCGCGCCACCAGCCGCGCCCAUAACGAUUGUUCGCCGCCGCACCACCAACAACCAUCGCGCGGACGCUGACACCCUCCGCCGUACUCCUCCGACCAGCGUCGCCGCCCACUGUUGCCGCGCCGCCCUGCCUGCCGGCCAGCAGCUUCCCUCUCCUCUCUUUUUUUUGGCGGAGAAUUCUUUGUAGGCGACUUUUGAAUUAUUAAAGUGGUCUUGCAGUUUGUUUACACAAGUCUCUAAGGAUCAAUAAGCAUUGUCCAUCUGCAGGUUUGAAGAUGUUGCAUCAUUGGGAUCGGGAAUAGAGAGCUUGUAUUUAGUUUUGAUUUGCUAAGUUAACUUGGGUUUGUUAAUUGGGACUUUAAACUCGUCGUACUAUUUAUAUUUCCUUAUUUUCGUUGGUUGAUUUUUUGGGGACUAAAUCUGUAAUCGAUUAUUUAUAAACCUAAAGUUAGUUUUAUGUUUUCCGCUGCAAAAUUCUGAAUAAGCCGUUACGUUUUCAUACGGGCGAUAAUGCCUUGAUAAUUCUCUACGUUUUAUAUUAAAAGAUUAUUUUAGAAAA